UCAGAAAAAUGCUGAACGUGAAUGCUUCACCAAAAACUCACUCUUCCAUAUUUAUCAGCAACUUAAUGGGAUAUGGGAGCAGGAGCCCCUCUUGAAUAACAUCUACCAGAAGAAAUCACCCUCCACCUUACCAGCCUGGUUAAGGGCUGACGUCGAUUGUUACCACCAAUUUUGAAGUUUUGGGCUGUAGCUGUUUGUGGUGUAUUGGCUGCUUUUCGGUGAGGACGGGAUGAUCAAGACUUGGAUUUGGAAUCCUGGAUGUGUUCCUCACUAUAAUCUCCGGUCAACAUUUGGUCUUGCGGAUGCAUGUGUGCCAUUCUUUCCCGCCAGAAGCCGUUCUUGUUGGGUGGACAGCCGGAAGUGGUUGAUUCCUGCAAAAUCUUUAACAUUAUUUUUUACGUUCUUCGGAUCUCGAGUCGGCCGCCGAUUUCAAUCUACAACGCAGUUUCUUUGAUGGAAUUGUGUGGUCCCUGCACGGGGACAGAAAAGUCAUGGACGUUUUGCAUCAUCGAUAUCUUCGUGACGCACGCUCAUCUAGCUUCACUGCUUCUCAUGCUGCUACUCAACUCGUCUUAGCACUGACGAGUUAGACCACUCCUGUGAUCGUUUCCGUCCGCUGUUACACACCUGCAGUCACUCACCACGGGAUUACCAACACCACGAGGUAAUGCAGAGAUGUUGCCUAGAUGAACAUUGAACACCAAAAGAUUGACGGCAGCCCUAAAAUGUCAGCUUGGAUCAUCGUAUUGUUGGUAUUGUUGCGUUUGUUUUGUGUUAGUUAACCCGUUGUCUGCCACGCCUUUGUUCUCCCCUAGCUCCUUAGCAUUGGCCGCGCCGAAAGGCCCUGUUAGGCAAUGCACCAUAGGGAC
Molecule: long non-coding RNA, 869 nt
Organism: Daphnia pulicaria
Lineage: Eukaryota; Metazoa; Arthropoda; Branchiopoda; Diplostraca; Daphniidae
Exons: 5
Source: RefSeq, a predicted model, not a curated record